CUACGGGACGCUGCAGUGGGGAAUAUUGCACAAUGGACGAAAGUCUGAUGCAGCAACGCCGCGUGGAGGAUGACACAUUUCGGUGCGUAAACUCCUUUUAUAUAGGAAGAUAAUGACGGUACUAUAUGAAUAAGCACCGGCUAACUCCGUGCCAGCAGCCGCGGUAAUACGGAGGGUGCAAGCGUUACUCGGAAUCACUGGGCGUAAAGAGCGUGUAGGCGGGUAGUUAAGUCCGAAGUGAAAUCCAAUAGCUCAACUAUUGAACUGCUUUUGAAACUGAUUACCUAGAAUAUGGGAGAGGUAGAUGGAAUUUCUGGUGUAGGGGUAAAAUCCGUAGAGAUCAGAAGGAAUACCGAUUGCGAAGGCGAUCUACUGGAACAUUAUUGACGCUGAGACGCGAAAGCGUGGGGAGCAAACAGGAUUAGAUACCCCAGUAGUC
RNAcentral lists this ribosomal RNA (439 nucleotides) under uncultured bacterium. RNAcentral describes it as "partial 16S ribosomal RNA". It matches the Rfam family "Bacterial small subunit ribosomal RNA", at positions 339 to 795 of the family's 1533-position model. The record is from RNAcentral.